RNAcentral lists this transfer RNA (85 nucleotides) under Acidobacteria bacterium OLB17. RNAcentral's name for it is "tRNA-Leu". It matches the Rfam family "tRNA". Rfam says of the family: Transfer RNA (tRNA) molecules are approximately 80 nucleotides in length. Their secondary structure includes four short double-helical elements and three loops (D, anti-codon, and T loops). Lineage: Bacteria; Pseudomonadati; Acidobacteriota. RNAcentral also lists the same sequence under 8 other names. The record is from RNAcentral.
GCCGAGGUGGCGAAAUUGGCAGACGCACUAGACUUAGGAUCUAGCGUCGAAAGACGUGCGAGUUCGAGUCUCGCCCUCGGCACCA